Long non-coding RNA from Pygocentrus nattereri (red-bellied piranha), 713 nucleotides. RefSeq lists it as uncharacterized. Lineage: Eukaryota; Metazoa; Chordata; Actinopteri; Characiformes; Serrasalmidae. The record is from RefSeq and is a predicted model, not a curated record. The transcript has 5 exons.
AAAUGGAAUGGAAAAAGACAGUAAUCAUCUGGAGUCAGAGGUUGCAUCUAGAGACGAUCAGCAUUGCACUCAGCAUUCACAGCUUGAGUCUACUUUCCUCAACCAGAUGACAAAAAAUGGAAUGGAAAAGACAGUAAUCGUCUGGAGUCAGAGGUUGCAUCUAGAGACGAUCAGCAUUGCACACAGCAUUCACAGCUUGAGUCUACUUUCCCCAACCAGGUGACAACAAUUGUAAUGCAAGAACAUAGUCAUCAUCUGGAAUCUGAUCUUACUUGUGGAGAUGCUCAGCAGCAGAGGUCUGCAUUCUUAGUUCAGAUCCUGGAGCAGAACCGGACUUACACAGCAAGCUCAGGAGACCUUGGCUGAGCAAGUCAUAGAACCAACCAGUACCACAUCAGUUCCCAAAGGUGUAAAGAUGGUUAAGAGAAAGAAAUGGGAGACCAGUGAAGUGAAAGCAGUUGAAAAACAUCUGAACAGGUUCAUUAAAACUUGCACAGUGCCAAGAAAAAAGAUUGAGUCCUGUAUAAAAGUUGACCCUGCUGCAUUCAAAGACCGACAUUGGUUAACGGUAAAGUUCUUUGUAAAGAACAGAAUCACUGCAUUUUAAAGGAAAAUGUAAACCAGAGCAAAUGUCAUUUGCAGUCUUUGUUUUUUUCUGUUCAUUGAUAAAGUGCUAAAAAAAGUUUUAUUUCAUUUUUCAGUUUAUUUUGUCA